This 377-nucleotide ribosomal RNA is filed under the name uncultured bacterium. RNAcentral's name for it is "bacterial SSU rRNA". It matches the Rfam family "Bacterial small subunit ribosomal RNA", at positions 521 to 896 of the family's 1533-position model. The record is from RNAcentral.
UAAAACGUAGGGGGCAAGCGUUGCCCGGAUUCACUGGGCGUAAAGCGGGUGUAGGCGGUUCUUUAAGUCAGAUGUGAAAUCCUGCGGCUCAACCGCGGAACUGCAUCUGAUACUGGGGAACUUGAGGACGGUAGAGGUCGGUGGAAUCCCCGGUGUACCGGUGAAAUGGGCAGAUAUCGGGGGGAACACCAGUGGCGAAGGCGGCCGACUGGGCCGAUCCUGACGCUGAGACCCGAAAGCCAGGGUAGCGAACCGGAUUAGAUACCCGGGUAGUCCUGGCCGUAAACGGUGCGAACUAGGUGUGGGGGGCCUCACGGCCUUCCGUGCCGAAGCUAACGCAUUAAGUUCGCCGCCUGGGGAGUACGGCCGCAAGGCUA